Molecule: ribosomal RNA, 227 nt
Filed under: Pseudoalteromonas sp. SR45-1
Lineage: Bacteria; Pseudomonadati; Pseudomonadota; Gammaproteobacteria; Alteromonadales; Pseudoalteromonadaceae
Also listed under: 1 other name
Description: partial 23S ribosomal RNA
Rfam family: Bacterial large subunit ribosomal RNA
Source: RNAcentral
AAACAGAUUAAUAUUUCUGUACUCGAUAUAAUUGCGAUGGGGGGACGGAGCAGGCUAAACAAGCAUGGCGUUGGUAGUCCAUGUGAAAGUGAGUAGGUUGGCGACUUAGGUAAAUCCGGGUUGCUGUUAAGACUGAGACACGAGACGAGUCACUACGGUGAUGAAGUUGUUGAUGCCAUACUUCCAGGAAAAGCCUCUAAGCUUCAGAUUAUAUGGAAUCGUACCCC